This 496-nucleotide ribosomal RNA is filed under the name uncultured bacterium. Its description in RNAcentral is "partial 16S ribosomal RNA". It matches the Rfam family "Bacterial small subunit ribosomal RNA", at positions 29 to 523 of the family's 1533-position model. The record is from RNAcentral.
AUUGAACGCUGGCGGCAUGCCUUACACAUGCAAGUCGAACGGUAGAGGGGGCAACCUCUCGAGAGUGGCGAACGGGUGAGUAAAGCAUCGGAACGUGCCCAGUAGUGGGGGAUAGCCCGGCGAAAGCCGGAUUAAUACCGCAUGAGACCUACGGGUGAAAGGGGGGGAUCGCAAGACCUCUCGCUAUUGGAGCGGCCGAUGUAAGAUUAGGUAGUUGGUGGGGUAAAGGCCUACCAAGCCGACGAUUUGUAGCUGGUCUAAGAGGACGAUCAGCCACACUGGGACCGAGAAACGGCCCAGACCCCUACGAGAGGCGGAAGUGGGGAAUUUUGGACAAUGGGCGAAAGCCUGAUCCAGCAAGGCCGCGUGUGUGAAGAAGGCCUUCGGGUUGUAAAGCACUUUUGCCCGGAAAGAAAUGGCUCUGGUUAAUACCUGGGGGCGAUGACGGUACCGGAAGAAUAAGGACCGGCUAACUACGUGCCAGCAGCCGCCGUAA